This is a long non-coding RNA of Ostrinia nubilalis (European corn borer), 527 nucleotides long. RefSeq lists it as uncharacterized. The record is from RefSeq and is a predicted model, not a curated record. NCBI's taxonomy places the organism in Eukaryota, Metazoa, Arthropoda, Insecta, Lepidoptera, Crambidae. The transcript is spliced from 2 exons.
UACAAAUUGCAAGUGUCGCGGUGUUGUUGCAUUUCGUAUUGCUUGCGAGUUCCUUUCCAAAGUUGAAAUAUUGUAAAUCUAAGUUUUAACCGUAUUAUAGACAGAAUGGAAAAUUACAAAAGAAAACAUAAUCACUCAAUUACAAUUAUUCUUGAAUUGGGUCAAAAAACAAGAUGCCGGGUUCAGGGAACAGGCAGAGUGUCUCAUCUGUGCAGAGUACAGACUGGCUGAGCCAGCCAGCCACUCAAACAUGCUCAACAAUGAUAUUUCCAUAGAAUAACGACACAAAUGAGGACAACUUACAACCAAUGUUACAAAGUGCAACAAAAUAAGUCAUAUAAGAAAAUGAGGUACUUAUUAAUUCGAAAACAAAUGGAAACACAUGCGAAAGAAACAUAAAUAUUUGCAGUGGUACAACAGAGUCCAAGAUAUUUGGAAGACCUAUGAGCGGGCCAUCAACCAUCGCAUCCUGCGUGAUGGUGGAGCUUUAUUAUUGUGAAAUAAUUCAAAUAUAUGUUUCUAUUUUU